This 587-nucleotide ribosomal RNA is filed under the name uncultured bacterium. RNAcentral's name for it is "partial 16S ribosomal RNA". It matches the Rfam family "Bacterial small subunit ribosomal RNA", at positions 354 to 1375 of the family's 1533-position model. The record is from RNAcentral.
UGGGGGAAUUUUGGACAAUGGGCGAAAGCCUGAUCCAGCAAUGCCGCGUGUGUGAAGAAGGCCUUCGGGUUGUAAAGCACUUUUGUCCGGAAAGAAAUCCUUGGCUCUAAUACAGUCGGGGGAUGACGGUACCGGAAGAAUAAGCACCGGCUAACUACGUGCCAGCAGCCGCGGUAAUACGUAGGGUGCAAGCGUUAAUCGGAAUUACUGGGCGUAAAGCGUGCGCAGGCGGUUUGCUAAGACCGAUGUGAAAUCCCCGGGCUCAACCUGGGAACUGCAUUGGUGACUGGCAGGCUAGAGUAUGGCAGAGGGGGGUAGAAUUCCACGUGUAGCAGUGAAAUGCGUAGAGAUGUGGAGGAAUACCGAUGGCGAAGGCAGCCCCCUGGGCCAAUACUGACGCUCAUGCACGAAAGCGUGGGGAGCAAACAGGAUUAGAUACCCUGGUAGUCCACGCCCUAAAACGAUGUCAACUAGUUGUUGGGGAUUCAUUUCCUUAGUAACGUAGCUAACGCGUGAAGUUGACCGCCUGGGGAGUACGGUCGCAAGAUUAAAACUCAAAUGAAUUGACGGGGUCAUAGCUGUUUCCU